RNAcentral lists this ribosomal RNA (372 nucleotides) under uncultured organism. RNAcentral describes it as "bacterial SSU rRNA". It matches the Rfam family "Bacterial small subunit ribosomal RNA", at positions 526 to 896 of the family's 1533-position model. The record is from RNAcentral.
CAGAGGUGGCAAGCGUUGUUCGGAAUUACUGGGCGUAGAGGGCGAGUAGGUGGCCAUCUAAGUCAGACGUGAAAUCCCCCGGCUUAACCUGGGAACUGCGUCUGAUACUGGACGGCUUGAGUAUGGGAGAGGGAUGCAGAAUUCCAGGUGUAGCGGUGAAAUGCGUAGAUAUCUGGAGGAAUACCGGUGGCGAAGGCGGCAUCCUGGACCAUAACUGACACUGAAUCGCGAAAGCUAGGGGAGCAAACGGGAUUAGAUACCCCGGUAGUCCUAGCCCUAAACGAUGAAUGCUUGGUGUGGCGGGUAUCGAUCCCUGCCGUGCCGAAGCUAACGCAUUAAGCAUUCCGCCUGGGGAGUACGGUCGCAAGGCUG